CAGGACCGGAAGUCCCACCAGGUGCCAGGUGCGAGACUCCUUCACACACGUGCAGGAGAGCUAGUCCAGCAGCUCCUAAUGCACCGUCAGUGAAGUUGGACUGAUUUAAGUAUGUUAAAAGCUCCACUCUGAACUGAAGAUCAGGCUGAAGAGAGAUCAGGAAGCUGCCCAGGUGACUCAGACAAAACACAUACAAGAUUACUGAGCGCAAGCUGUGUUCCCAGGUUCCUGGUCCCCUCCCUUAGGAAGCUCACCAUCUGGUGAGAGGAAGAUAACACUGCACUGUAACUAGCGUGCAGAGGGCACUUGUGCAGUCCAGAUGAGCGGGCCUAACGAGGACUUCACAGGACGGGUACCCAGCUCUGCUUGGAAGAGAGGGGCAGACAGGAGUGUAUUCCAAGUAGAAGUUGCAUUUUGGCACUCUGGGGGAAAGCACGCAAUUCAACAAAAAGAUAUAAAAAGAGAAGACGCUGAGAAAGAACUCUCCAGGAGAAGGAGUCAAAGAUCUUGUAGUGCUGAGGAGAUCAAAAGGAGAGAAGCUCUCGAGAAGGAAGUGCCGUGUCUAAUCCCACAGAAAGUGUGGGGACGCAGCAAGAAGAUUGCCGUCUGCAAACUGGUAAGAGGAAUUUCAACAGGACUCAACCCUGUUGGCACUCUCAUCUUGGACUUUACAGCCUAUAGAACUGUGAGAAAUAAAUUUCUAUUGAUUAAGCCA
RNAcentral lists this long non-coding RNA (715 nucleotides) under Equus caballus (horse). RNAcentral describes it as "lncRNA (ENSECAG00000056842.1)". The record is from RNAcentral. Lineage: Eukaryota; Metazoa; Chordata; Mammalia; Perissodactyla; Equidae.